GGGAGGAAGCAACGGCCUAAAACUCAACCUAAUCCUAAAUCCCAGGCUCGUCGUAUUCGGAAGGAACCACCAGCUUACGCAGCAGGUAUGUUUUCUGUUGGAAGCUUUGGGGUAUCAAGGUCUUGCACUCUGUUUUUUUUUUUUUUGUUGUUGGUCAAGGAGUGAUGUUAUAAAGAGUUUCUUUAAGGAGGCAGUUAUUAAGGGUAUGGGUUUGGAGGCCAGUCAGACCCGCCUUUAAGUUUUGGCUCUUAACUCAUUUUCUGGUCUGCCUUCAUCUAGUUAACUUCUGCAGGCUUCAGUUACCUUGUCUCUAAAUAGGGAUAAUGAAGGUAGUCAGAAUUUUCAUGGAGACUAAAUGGGGAUAAAAACAUUUAAGAACAUCUCAGACACACAGGAAACAGGAAAUUGGCUGUUAUAUAUCUAAGUAUCCCAUUAUUAUAUGCUGCUGUGAAAAUGUUGCCCCAUUGUUGGUUAUACCUCAGUAAAGCUAGAAAAAAAAAUGUUGCCCAGUUCUUUAAGCUGCUGGGCUUUUGAAUGGUUCUCAGAUGGUUUUUGUCGUGGAGGACUGAGUAGGAGUAUCAGAAACUCCUCAUUGUCUGAAAAAAAAUUACUUCUAGAAAGAGUCUUUUCCCCAGGAAGGAAAAAAAAUGAUACUUUUACUAAAUUCCAGGAAUACGUUUUCUGUUUCUAGAGAAUUCUGCAAAUUAUGAAGUGUUUCUUUCUCUGCUUUGUAGGCAGUUUGGAGGAACAAUGGUACCUAGAAAUUGUGGAUAAAGGCAGUGUCUCCUGUCCUACCUGCCAGGCGGUGGGGAGGAAGACCAUAGAGGGCUUAAAGAAACACAUGGAGACCUGCAAACAGGUUAGAGAUUUUGUGGCGUUUCAUAAGGGUUAUGACCUUUUCCCAUACCUCAGACAACUAUCGCUGUGUCAGUGUGCUGAUUACUGUGGAGAAGCAGCAGCAUUGUGUUACAAGGAAAACAGAGGCUUUAGAGUCUGACAGACUUGGGUUUGAAUCUUCAUUUAGCCACUUACUUGUUGUGUCAUUUAGCUUUUUAUGUGUGAACCUUGGUUUUCUCAUUUAUAUUACAAAUUAUACAAAUAAUUUUAUGUAGUCCCUGAGGGGAUAAGAAAGAAUACAUGCUGAGUGCCCACCCCGUUACUCGGCAAAUGUUGGCACUCAGUAAAUGGUAAUUCUUACUCCUUUAAAAAUCAGUUACUUUUACUUCGUUACCCUUGAGGAUGUGACACUGAGGUUGUGGGGUUUUGAGAUUCUUUGGGUUUGGAAAUAAAGGAGACACAGACGAGAGCAUCCGGGUAGGACUUUGUUACAUUCUGUUUCUCUGUUGAACAACUUGACACUGAGCAGUAUUUCUUCCUGUAGGAAAUGUUUACUUGUCAUCAUUGUGGGAAACAACUUCGUUCACUGGCAGGGAUGAAGUAUCACGUGAUGGCAAAUCAUAAUAGCUUGGUAAGAGUAUCUUCUGUCCUGUAUGAGCCUGUGUGUGUUUGGAUGUCUUUACUUAGAUGAGUGCAGAUAACCCAGUGGAGGUGUCUAAGGCUCUGGGGCUUUAUAGAGGUGUGAGUAAGAAUACCUUUUUGAUAGAAGUCAUGCACAUGAAACCUUUGCGGUGGGUAUUUGUGUGUUUAGGUUAGCCCCAAAGGUUCGUCUCCUGGAAGAUAGAGGCUCUGAGCUCUUAUUUGCAUUACAUUUGCUUCCUUGUCUGUCUAGGAGAAGAGGGAGAAAGCCAGGAGUCAGAUAACUAAGCUUCAUGGGCAUCGGCUUAGGUGCUAGUCCAGUCCUUGAUUCUCCUAUGAUACAAUUUUUUUCUGUAUCUGUCUUUUCCAUGAAUCAUCUGCUUGUUUGCUUGUCUUGCUUUCUAGCCCAUUUUGAAGGCUGGAGAUGAAAUAGACGAACCAAGUGAGAGAGAACGGCUCCGAACAGUUUUAAAGAGACUGGGAAAGCUCAGGUGCAUGCGCGAGGUAAGAGCCCAGGGACAGUGUCUCCUUCUGCCUGGAGUCUUGAAUCAAUGUCUUUCUGUUAUUUUGUUCCAUUUCUUCUCUCUUGUAGACCUGGUUCUGUGUCCUCUUACAGCGUAAGAGUGGCUCCUGCUUUUCCAGCUGUUUUGAAUUCAUUAGUAGCUCUUUAUUUUCUUUCUCAUCUCCACAAACUUAUUUCCCCCUUCUUUCCCUUUGUUCAAAGGAGUUUCUUUACCAUCCUUUUUUAGUGUGAUGAAAAGGAUCUUAGUAUUCUCACUGUGAGGAGCUUUGCCAUUGCUGGGUGUAUGAUACUGGGGUGGAGUCGAGUCACAGACCAGAGAGGAAGCUCUGCCACAGGGGAGACACACGGAUCCAGUUUACUGAAUGCCAACUAAACUGAUUGACUGUCACGGUUGGUGGUGGACAGGACAGGCGUUCGGCCAGGCACAAGGGCCAAGGAAAGGUUGUGCCAACGGGAAGUGUUGGAGAGGGUCUAGUGAUACCAGAGGAUCUAUUUACGUGAGGUGGUGGUUGAAUGCUUUGUGGCUGUUGAGAAAUUGAGAAAUCAUGUCAAAAGAUGUAAGAUUAUAGUUCAGGCCUUUCUCCUGUGUUCAGAGUUGCUCUAGUAGCUUCACCAGCAUCAUGGGAUAUCUGUACCAUGUCAGAAAAUGUGGCAAAGGGGCUGCAGAGCUGGAGGAGAUGACCCUGAAAUGUCACCACUGUGGAAAGCCAUAUAAAUCGAAGGCUGGACUUGCGUAUCACCUGAGGUCAGAGCAUGGGCCUGUGAGUACUGAUUACUUUCCAGACCCUGUUUGGGGAUCUGUUUUUUGGGGACUCCUUACUCCGACAUCUUCCCAUACAUCCGCUGUUCCUUAUUUGUAUCCCCUUUUAAUCUUUGAAUACUUUUGUUUUCCUUUCCUUAUUUUUCCUUGGUUCUCUUAUUUCUGCCUUUUGAACAUAAUUAGGUUAGAGAAAUCAAAGUUCAGCGUGUAAUCUGUGCAGAAGUAAACUCAUUAUUAUACUUUUAAAGUUUAAGGCAUUCCGAUUUAGCUAGAAAUUUUGUGGAAAUUUCUGUCCGGCUGGUUCUUCCAUUCCAAUUUUUUUGUCUUGAUUUUUUUCCCCCUUGAUUACAUUUCUAGGCUUCCCCCAUCUCAUGUUUCUUUUUAGAAUUCAGUUUCAAGGUAUAAUUUACAUAUGAUAAUUAACGUUCACCCUUUUAAUUUUUUAAUUUUUAUUUUUUUUAAUGUUUAUUUUUUGAGAGCGAAGACAGUAUGGGGGGGUGGGCGGAGAGAGAGAGGGAGGCACAGAAUCCGAAGCAGGCUCCAGGCUCUGAGCUGUCAGCACAGAGCCCGAUGCGGGGCUCGAACUCACGAACUGUGAGAUCAUGACUUGAGCUGAGGUUGGACGCUUAACCGCCUGAGCCACCUAGGCGCCCCAAUAUUCACCCUUUUUAGUGUGCAGUUACGAGUUUUGACAAAUACAUAGUCAUGUAGUCACCACCACAAUCAAGAUAUAGAACGAUUUGACCACUGAUUUAUUUUCUGUCCCUAUAGUUUUGCUUUUUUCACAAUGUCCUAUAAAUGGAGUCAUACGAUAUGUAGCCUUCCUUUUGAGUCUGGCUUCUUUCACUUAGCAUAAUACAUUUGAGACUCAUCCAUGUGUUGCAUGUAUCAUUAAUUUAUUUUUUUUUAUUUCUGUCUAGGAUUCCAUUGUAUGGAUGUUUCACAGUUUCUUUAUCCAUUCAUCAGUUGAAGAACAUUUGGGUUGUUCCCAUAUUUUGGCAAUUAUGAAUAAAGUUACUAUAAACAUUCACAUAAAAGGCUUUUGUGUGAAAAUAAAUUUUAAUUUCUCUUGGGUAAAUACUUAGGAAUGGGAUAGCUAGGUCAUAUGAUAAAUGUGUGUUUACCUUUAUGAGAAACUGCCAAACUCUUUUUCAGAGUGGCUGUACCAUUUUGCAUUCUCACUAGUAAAAUAUGACAAUUCCAGUUGCUUUGUAUCCUUGUUAGGAUUUGCUAUUGUUAAUUUCAUUUUUUUCUUAGUCCAUUCUACUAGGUAUGCAGUGGUAUUUCACUGAAGUUUAAAUUUGCAUCUCCCUAGUGACUAAUGACAUUGACCAUCUUUUCAUUUGUUUAUUGGCAAUGUCAGUUGUUAGUGAAGUAUCUUCUUUUUUGAAGUGGCCAUUGAAAUCCUUUAUUAUUGGAGUUUUGUUGUCUUACUAGGAAGUUUUGAGAAUAUUCUGAGUUUUUUAUAUAUUUUGGACAGAAGCCCUUCAUUAGAUACAUGUUUUGCAAAUAUUUUCUCCCAGUCUAUAGUUUGUCUUUUCAUCUAUUUACAGUGUUCUAAAUUUUUUUAUAAGUUUAUUUAUCUUGAGAGGGAGAGAGAGCACCCAAGCAAGGGAGGGGGAGAGGGAGAGAGAGAAGCCCAAGCAGGCUCUGCUUAGUGUGGAGCUUGAUGUGGGGCUUGAUCUCACAGCUGUGAGAUCAUGACCUGAGCUGAUAUCAAGAGUCAGAUAGAUGCUCAACCAACUGAGACACCCAGGCACCCCUAUAGUGUUUUUCAAAGAGCAUAGUUCUUAAGUUCGAUUUAUCAUUUUUUCCUUUUAUGGGUAAUGCUUUUUUUGUUGUUGUUUCUAAUAUCUCUUUGCCCAACCCAGUUUUCUUUUCUUUUCUUUUCUUUUAAAUGUUUUUAUUUAUUUUUGAGAGAGACAGAGUGUGAGUGGUGGAGGGGCAGAGAGAGAGAGAGAGAGGGAGACACAGAAUCUGAAACAAGCUCCAGGCUCUGAGCUGUCAGCACAGGGCCAGAUACGGGGCUUGAACUCAUGAACUGUGAGAUCAUGAACUGAGCCACCCAGGCACCCCCCAACCCAAUUUUCUAUUGCUGCUAUAAAAAAUCACAAGGGGGCCUGGGUGGCUCAGUCGGUUGAAUGUCUGACUUUGGCUCAGGUCAUGAUCUCACAGUUCUUGGGUUCCAGCCCUGCAUCUGAGCUGUCAGCACAGAGCCUGGAGGCUGCUUCUGAUUCUGUGUCUUCCUCUCUCUCUGCCCCUUCCCCACUCACACUCUUGUCUCUCUCUCAGAAAAUAAAACAUUUAAAAAAAAUCACCACAGAAUUAAUGGCCUAAAUAACACAACUGUAUUGUUUCAGUGUGUUAGGCCCGAAGUCCAGGGAUAGCACAGCUCAGCUGGCUCCCCUGUGUAGGACCUCACCAGGCUGGCAUCAAAAUGUCAGUAGGACUGUUCCUUUUUGGAGGCUCAAGGGGAGAAUCUGUUUUGAGGCUCGUUAAAAUUAAGACUUGAGUUCCAUGCAGUUAGUUGUAGGACCUCAUUUCCUUGCUUGCUGUAGGCCGAGAGUUGUUCUCUGGUUAUGAAGGCCAUCUAUGUUCCGUGGCUUGUGGUCCCUUCCUCUUCAAGUCAGCAGCAGUAUCAAGUCUCUCUCACACUCUGAAUCUCUCCUGCCUUUUCUUCUGUCGCACCUCUCUUACUUAAAAUCAACUGAUUCUGGACUUUAAUUAGAUCUACAAAGUACCUUCACAGCAGCACAUAGAUUAGCGUUUAAUUGAAUAACUGAUGACUGUAGCCUAGCCAGGGUGACACAUCAAAAAACCAUUACACCCAGGAUUACAAAAAUGUCCUCCCUUUGUUUCUUCUAGAAGUUUUAUAGUUACGUGGUUUACAUUUCAUUUUGAGUUAAUUUUUAUAUGUAGUAUGAGAUAGGAAUGGGUUGAGGUUCAUGUCUUUGCACAUGGCUAUGUCUUGACCUUUACUUAUUAAAAUAGAAUAGACUUCACCCUAAGAAAUUUUUUAUAUUAGUAAAAUACGCAUGAAGGUGGUAGAGCUUUAUGCUAGUGGUUAGCAAGCCAGUGAAGAGCUUUUGAUACUUAGAGCAGGAAGGAUAGCCCUUAAUCAUUGGCUUUGAUGGAAGCCACUUCUCAGGCCUGUGUUUUGCUAUGUCUCAUUCUUGCAGAUCUCAUUCUUUCCAGAGUCAGGACAGCCAGAGUGCUUAAAGGAGAUGAGCCUGGAGCCAAAGAGUGGGGGUCGAGUUCAGAGGCGUUCUGCCAAGAUAGCUGUGUACCACCUGCAGGAGCUGGCUUCUGCUGAACUGGCCAAGGAAUGGCCUAAGAGGAAGGUGCUUCAGGAUUUGGUGCCUGAUGAUCGGAAGGUAAAGUAGAAAUUUGCGUUAAUUUUGAACCAUGUCUGAUGUUGUGCUUAGUACAUACGGAAAAGUAAAUGCACUUGAGUACGUGAUAAACAGUAUGUUGCUUCUUUUUUUUUUAAAUUAAUUAAUUAAUUAAUUUUAUUUUUUUUAAAAUAUAUGAAAUUUAUUGUCAAAUUGGUUUCCAUACAACACCCAGUGCAUCCCAAAAGAUGCCCUCUUCAAUACCCAUCACCCACCCUCCCCUCCCUCCCACCCCCCAUUAGCCCUCAGUUUGUUCUCAGUUUUUAAGAGUCUCUUAUGCUUUGGCUCUCUCCCACUCUACCCUCUCUUUUUUUUUUUUUCCUUCCCCUCUGCAUGGGUUCCUGUUAAGUUUCUCAGGAUCCACAUAAGAGUGAACACAUAUGGUAUCUGUCUUUCUCUGUAUGGCUUAUUUCACUUAGCAUCACACUCUCCAGUUCCGUCCACCUUGCUACAAAGGGCCAUAUGUCAUUCUUUCUCAUUGCCACAUAGUACUCCAUUGUGUAUAUAAACUACAAUUUCUUCAUCAGUAUGUUGUUUCUUAAUCCUUAGAGAUGGAGUAUGUCUGAUCCAGCUUCAGUGUUUGGAUUCAUAUGGGUCCUAGAGAGACCGUCUGUUUCAGAAAUUCCUUAAGGAACCCUCUUAAUUUUGAACUGCUUCUGGAGGGAAUCCGAAUUCCCAGAUUAGUCUUUUUUAUUAGUCUUUGUUUCCACUUUGUUAGUUUUUUGUUAGUCUUUUGUUAGUCUCUGUUUCCACUUUGUUAAUUUGUAUGUAGUAGUUUAUAUUUAGUUUAGAUAAAUGAUUUCAGUUUGUUUUUCUAGCAACAGAACUCCUCUCCCCACCCACUCUUUUUUUCCAAAUGAAAAUUAUAUAAAACACCAAUAUGUAGAAUAACUUAAAAUAGAGUCGCUGGGGUGCCUAGGUGGCUCAGCUGGGUAAGUGUCCAACUUCAGCCAAGGUCAUGAUCUUAUAGUUUGUGAGUUUGAGUCCCAUGUUGGGCUAUCUGCUGAUAGCUCAGAGCUUGGAGCUGCUUCGGAUUCUGUGUCUCAUUCUCUCUCUGCCCCUCCCCUGCUCAUGCUCUGUCUCUCUCUCUCUCUCUCUCUCAAAAAUAAAUAUUAAAAAAAAAAUUAAAAAUGGAGUUUCUCUAUGUAACUAGGGGUAGUGAGCCCAAAACUUUGCUUACUUGGCCUUCUCCUUGAUACUUUUAUCAUUCCUUCCAUGGCCCCAAGUGUACUUCUCAGGGUUACAGAAUCUAGCUUAGAAGCCUUUGGUUUAAAAUAGAUCAUAGACCAAAGGAACAUAUUUGGCCAAGAGGAGAUAAGGAGUAUAUGACUAUGGGGUAGUCAUGGGAAGGGCUUGGGAGGAUAUACGAGUAAAGAUUAAGGUUAGAGCUGAGGACCUGUUACUCUCCAUGGUAUCAAGAAAGAUAGUUUAGAUUUGGCCUAGGGCUUUGACUCAUGAGGGGAAUGUCAUAUAUUAUAAGAAAAUGUCAAUUCGUGGAAGUGGAUACCUUUUAUUUGGUCUAAAAAUCAGUCCUACUGGUGUCCAAGGAGUUGGAUCCUGUUCUUGAGUAUCAGAGCAUCCUUUUUUGUUUCAGACUCAUUGCUACCUUUUUCCUGCCACAGGCUAAAGUAUGUGGUUAUCUAAAUUCAGUUUAAAUGUGAAUUUUGUACAGUGGUAUGUAUCUUAUGAUAUUGUAGUCCGUUUGCUUUCACUGUGUUGAUCGGUGGUAGGGAAUUAGACAUAAAUAUUUGUUAACUGAUUGAUAAGGUUUGCUAGUCUUAUCUAGCAGAUACUCUCCUAAAAUCAUCAGUUUUAUAGUUUGACAUUGUGUAGGUUAAAGGCAUUAUUAUUUUGUUUUGUUUUAAACUAAAAAUUUAAUUGGAAUAGAUAAUAUAUUCUUGUUCAGAAGUCAAAAUGAUAAUAAACAUUGAGAUACCUCAGUCUCACCCCAUCCUUGUUCUAGCCUGUAUCCAUGGUAACCAUUCUUACUGGUUUCUUGUGUGUCCUUCCAGUGUUUUUUAAUGCAAAUACAAGCAAUAUGGUCUAGGAAAAACUCUUGUGUUUUCUUUUACUCACAUACUACUACACACUUAACACUUCUGACACCAGAUGUGUGGUUUUUUCCCACACAGACUAAUUUUCUAACACCACCUGCGUGUCCUACAAUUUAAUUCAGUCCUGACACUAUCUACCUGGAGUUAGUGUCAGGUCCACAAGUUAAGGGCUCAGUCUCACAGGACUGUUCCAAUUUCAGGUGCCAGUCACAAGUCCCAGGUUGUCAUCUGUACUUCUGACUGACUGGGCUAAAAAUUGGGGUUCCCAUGCUCCCCUCCUUGGUUUCAGUAAUUUGCUAGCAUGGCUCACAGAACUCAGGGCAACGUGUUUACUGGUUUGUUAUAAAGGAUAUAAUAAAAUCUGCAGAUGAACAACCAGAUGAAGAAAUACAGAGUGAGGUCUAGAAGAGUCCCCAGCAUAGGAGCUCCUAUCCCUGUGGAGUUGGAGGUGUAUCACCCUCUUGGCGCAUAUAUAUACUCUCUGAACCCCAUAAUUUUGGGAUUUUUAUAGAGGCUUCAUCACAUAGGCAUGAUUGAUUAACUAUCCCUAGCCCCUUUCCCUCUCUAGAGAAUGGGGAAUGUGUCUGAAAGUUCAAAGCUUCUAAUCAAGGCUUGGUUUUGCCAGUGGCUAGCCCACCGAGGAGCCCACAGAGUAUUACCUCAUCAAAACAAAAGAUACUCCUAUCACCCAGGAAAUUCCAAGGGAUUUAUGAACUCUGUCCAAAUACUGGUAUUACUCAGAAAAUUAGUAGGUGUUUUAGGAACUCUCUAUCAGGAACCAGGUUCAGAGACUGAGUAUUAGCAGGAACUGAGGGCAGAGACCAAUAAAUAUUUUUUCUUGUUUCACAAAUAUAUAUUCCUUUCUUUUAAAUGUUUCCAUUUAUUUUGAAAGAGAGAGCACAUAAGCUGGGCAAGGGCAGAGAGAGGGAGAGACAGAAUCCAACACAGGGCUCGAACUCACAAACCGUGAGACCAUGACCUGAGCUGAAAUCAAGAGUCAGAAGCUUAACUGACUGAGCCACCGAGACACCCCUAUAUUCCUUUUUCAAAAAUCUUUUUAUUUGGAAAUAAUUUUAGACUUACCGAGUCUUUGCAAAAUUAGUACAGAGUUCCCAUAUGCUCUUUACCUGGCUUCCCCUAAUGCCAACAUCUUACAUAACCAAUAACAUAGGAUCCCAUCAAGAUCUCACAUUUAAUUCUCUUUACUGUGUCUCCUUAGUCUCCUCCCAUCUGUUAUCAUCCUUCUGGCUUUAUUGAUCUUUUGUGCUCUUGACACUUUUUUUUUUUUUAAUUUUUUUUUCAACGUUUAUUUAUUUUUGGGACAGAGAGAGACAGAGCAUGAAUGGGGGAGGGGCAGAGAGAGAGGGAGACACAGAAUCGGAAACAGGCUCCAGGCUCUGAGCCAUCAGCCCAGAGCCCGACGCGGGGCUCGAACUCACGGACCGUGAGAUCGUGACCUGGCUGAAGUCGGACGCUUAACCGACUGCGCCACCCAGGCGCCCCUGACACUUUUGAAGAGAACAGGCUCGUUGUUUUGUAGAAUAUCCCUAAUAUGGAUUUGUCUAGUGUUUGCUCAAGAUUAGAUUGAAAGUUACAUGUUUUUGUCAAGAUUACCACUGAAGCAGUGUUUGCCUUUCUCAAUGUACCAUAUUAGGAGGUAUAUGAUGUUGAUGUGUCUUUUUUACCAGUGAUCACUUUGAUCACUUGAUUAGGGUGUAUUGUCCAGUUUUCUCCAAGGCAAAAUUACAGUUUUCCUCUCUGUAAUUAGUGAACAUUUUGUGGGGAUAGUGACACUGUGCAACUACCCUGUGUCUUAUCAUACCUCUGCCCACUUGCUGUAGCAUCUGUCAGUGAUUCAUUCUUGCCUGCAACAGUUAUUAUUAUGGUUGUUUGCCUAAUGAUGGUUUGUGUUUCCAUUACUUCUUCCAUAAAUUAUUAAUUGAAAUUCUGUGAGAAAAUACGUCCUUUUUUUCUCUUAAUCUAUUUAUAUCAGUAUGGACUCAUGGAUAUUUUAUUGUAGGUGUAUAAUCCAGUGCUAUUAUUAAUAUUCAUUUUUUGGCUCAAAUUGUUCCAGAUUUGGCCAUCAAGAGCUCUUUGCAGUGGGCACCUGUGCCUUUUUGACAUACUUCUAUCAUUUUUUUGAGUACUCUUUGACAACAUAAGGUGCUGUAGAGUCAUCUUGUGUAUUCCCUUCCCCCGCCCUGGAAUCAACCAUUUCUCUAAAGAAUGCUGGUUUCUUUUAUUGGAGAAUAUACUUAAAAAACAAGAUUUGAGGGGCGCCUGGGUGGCGCAGUCGGUUAAGCGUCCGACUUCAGCCAGGUCACGAUCUCGCGGUCCGUGAGUUCGAGCCCCGCGUCGGGCUCUGGGCUGAUGGCUCAGAGCCUGGAGCCUGUUUCUGAUUCUGUGUCUCCCUCUCUCUCUGCCCCUCCCCCGUUCAUGCUCUGUCUCUCUCUGUCCCAAAAAUAAAUAAACGUUGAAAAAAAAAAUUAAAAAAAAAAACAACAACAAGAUUUGAAUGCUGGGUGUACUCAUUCCUGCUGGGGUGUCAUUGCUUCUGGGCCCUCUUGGUGGCUAGAACUAGGAUAUAUAUGUAUGUCUACUCGUAGAUGAAAACACACACUCUGUGUUCAUUUUUAUGUCUGUCUGUAUACAUAUUUAAAGCCAUGAUACCUUCACUUCCAGUCCAACACCACAAGUUUCAUUCUUGCCUUCCUUUGUGCUUAUUUGUAACUCCUUUCUCUAACAGUAGGAAAACCUAGCUCUCACUGUUUGUAAUGUAUUUAUUUAUUUGCUUAGUCCUAGUAUAACAUAAAGUAGUUUUACAAUUAUUAAGCCAUACCCCUGUAAAAACAGGUUUAUUAGCUGCAGAAGAAUAUUUGUAUAUCGUUCUUUACAUCUUCAGCCUUACAGUAUAUAGUCAAAGUACUGUUUUAUUUUUUUUUUUAACUUACCUAUUUAUUUUGAGAGAGGGAGAGAGAGAGAGAGUGAGGGAGGGGCAGAGAGAGAGGGAGAAAGAGAAGUCCAAGCAGGCUCCACACUAACAUGAACUGUGAGAUCACGACCUGAGCCAAAGUCAGAUGCUCCACUGACUGAGCUUCCCAGGCGUCCCUCAAAGUAUUAUUUUACGGUUAUUUAGAUUGGCUUUCUCCCUCGCUCCCUUCAUUAUGCUUCUCAUUUGUAAUCCUUAGGUUCAUGUGUUACUUUUCUUUACAUUUUGAGUUCCCCUACAUCCUGUUUAAUUGAAACUAGUCAUUUCUCUUGGGGGGUAUGUGAAACAUUACCAUAGUUCUAAAAGUCAGACCCCAUACAAAAGGUCGUCUUAUAGAAGGGUCACUGCCCUCUUCCCAGCUUUCCCAUUCUGAAUACCCUUUUGUUUCCAUCCUGUCCCCACCCUGCUCCCUGCAGAGACCACCACACUCAGUUUCUGCUUUGUCCUUCCUGUAUUUUUAUGGGCUAGAUGACCAGAUACAUGCAUAUUUUCGUACAUCUUUUUCUUUCUCACAUAGAUACUCUUUUGUAAUUUGCUUUAUUUCACUUAAAAGUGUAUCCUGGAAAUCACUCCAUAUGUGUUCUUAGAGAUUAUCCUCAUUUCUUUUUUUUACAGCUGCGUAAACAUGAUAGUUUAUUAUAUGAAUAUAAUAUAAUAGUUUAUGCAAAUAUUCUCUUAUCGCUGUAAAAGGAUUUUAGAUGGACCUGUAUACCCUAGCUGCAGAAGAGAGGGGUGCUUAUAAAUAAAGCCAGCUCUGUGCUCUGAUUCCUCUUAUAGAUUUAGCGGAGUUCCUUUAGGCUGCCUUCCUUAUUUCCCCUUACCUCUGGGUUUUGGUUCUGUUUUUCUGUCUCAGAAAGAGCAUCAGCUUCUUUUCAGAUACUUCCAUUUUCCAAGCAGGAGGAUUGUUUACUCACUGGAAAUACAGCUAUUACUUGUGGUGGACUUUGUAAGAACUGUCUCUACAGGUGCUAGCUGUCUCUUUUCUGGAAACUAUAGUAGUUGUAAGAAGAGACUAACUUAGGGGCACCUGGCUGGCUCAAUUGGUGGAGCAUGUAACUCUUGAUCUUGGGGUUGUGAGUUCGAGCCCCACGUCGGGCUCUAAAUAAAUAAAUAAAUAAAUAAAUCUAAAGAAAAGAGAGAGAGAGACUAACUUGGGUCAAGCAUGUGAAGGCAAGUGUGAGGAAUAAUUUUGCUUGUGCAGUAUAAGUAAAAAUCAUGUGUUCCAUCCCCAAGUUCUCUCACAUCUUUGUUUUAGGUUGAACCUUAAUUUCUUUGAGUUUUUUUUAAAUGUUUAUUUUUGAGAGAGAAAAUAGAGAGAGACAGAACAUGAGCAGGGGAGGGGCAGAGGGAGACAGAAGGGAGACAGAAUACAAAGCAGGCUCCAGGCUCUGAUGAGCUGUCAGCACAGAGCCUGAUACGGGACUCGAACUCACAAACCACGAGAUCACGACCUGAGUCGAAGUCGGAUGCUCAAUUGACUGAGCCACCCAGGUGCCCCUGAAUUUUUUAAAUACCAAAAAUUAACAUGACACCUUUGAAGAAAAAGGAGAAAUGCAGAUAAGCAGGGAAAAAUCAUUAAAGCUACUCAAAAUUCUACCACCCAGAGAGGACUACUGUUAACAUUUUGAUGUAUAGCCUUCUAGCUUUUCCCCCAUCUACAUAUAUUUCUGUUGCAUAUGUUGUAUAUAUAUGUGUAUAUAUGUACCAUAUUUAUGAAUAUACCUAUAUUUUACAGUACAUAUUUGUAUCUUUGUCUUUUUCGUAAUGAGUAUUUUAACUGUGUAAAUGCUCUGUCACUAGCUUUUUAAAACUGUAGAUGAAGUGCUAUAUCUGAAAGUCUCUUCUCCUGCCCUCUGUUAAAAAUCAAAACUAUUCUAAGAUUAAAAAACAGACAGUUAUACUUACCAGUUUCAGAUAAAUUUGUAUUUAAAGGGUCUUACAUACUAUAAUACUUUUGGCACAUGAAAAUAUGUUUGUCAGACUCCAGAAUUACAUAACCUAAAGAGUUGGGUAUGAACCUUUUGGGGUAUUUUGGUUGGAAGUUGGAUUCCUCCAAUAAAAUAUUUCUUGUCUUGUAGUUAAAAUAUACUCGCCCUGGGCUUCCUACCUUCAGCCAGGAAGUACUACACAAAUGGAAGUCAGAUAUCAAGAAAUAUCAUCGCAUUCAGUGCCCUAACCAGGUGGUUCUUUCUCAUUCAUUUUUUCAGUAAAUGUUUAUCAAGUUUAUCAAACUUCUGUCUCAGUUACUGAUUCCUUCAUGACAAAGUUAUCUGAACCUUAGUGGCUUAAAACAUUAGUUAUUUUAUUUGUUCAGAAUUCUGUGAGUCAGUAAUUCUGUCAGGGCUCAGAGAACCUUCUCCUGCUAAACAUGGCGUCAGCUGGGAUCACUCAUGGGUUGUAUUCAGCUGCAAGCUCAGAUGGGACCUGAACGUCCAAGAUAGCUUCUGUGCAGCUAAUUGAGCUGGGAGCUUCGCUCUCCACGUGGCCUCUCUGUCCAUGAGGUUGUAGUGGGUUACCAGCAGGGUACAUGGCAACUGACUUCUUAGAGUGUUCCAAGAACAUGCAGAUGAAAGCUGUAGAUCUCUCAGGCCUAGCUUCAGAAUUUGUUCAGCAAUAUUUCCAUGGCAUUCUAUUGGUCAAAGGAAUCACAGGGUUAACCCAGAUUCAAAGGGAGGGUGAAUAGACUCCUCUUCUUACAGGGAAGAGUGGCAGAGAAUUUCCAUUAUUUCUUUAAUCCACCACAGCUGUAUAUGCAGUACUUUGGGAAGGAGGAUAUCUACCAGAAACAGGAGACAUAUUUAUACUGAAGAAGGCAGAUUAAAAAAAAAAAAAAAAAUCCAACCAUGCAAGUUUCUGUUUCUCUAAAAGUCAGAGAAAAAGUAUCAGGGAAGGGAAUAUCUUAAGCCCUUCUUUUUUUAAAAAAAUACCUUUUCAUGGUUUUCCUUUUUCCUUUUGUGGCUUGUGUCUGAAUUUUUUCUGUUUGGUUUGUAGUACAAUUUAUUGGGCUUCUUCCUCUAAAUGUAGGGUUGGUCAGUGUGAACGGCCAGAUUGCUAAGAGAAGGAUGAGGUUUGGUAUAAUCUUUACAUUAUUUCUUCUUCUCUCUUUCAGGGUUGUGAGGCUGUCUACAGUAGUGUAUCAGGCCUUAAGGCUCACCUGGGCUCUUGUACCUUGGUUUGUAACUUUCUGAAUGCUUUAUCUUAAUGUGAUCUCUCAAACAAAAGUCUGACAUGGAAGAGAAUUCAGUUUAGGCGAACAGCUAGUCACCCUGUUUACUGUUAAGUUCAGAGGCUUGUUUAGUUUUUUAUGUCCUAAAGAUUCUUUAUCUGGUAUUGGAUGGGAUGUCCUGAUAUGUCCAAGAUAUAGAAGAAGCCAACAUAGCCUUAAGUCUUAUCAAUUAAAAAAGUUGGAGGAAAAGUAUUAUUAUUAGUUUUGAGUCUAUAUCAGGGAGGUAACUUUUUCUACCUGAGUCUGUCCUGCCCUGGACCUGCCCUGUUUAUUGGGCCUUAAAAUUUCUAGAAUCAGUUUACAUGUGCUUAUCUGGAUGAUGAAGAUCCUCUAAUCCCACCUGAAUUAUAUAGCCUCUGGGGAUGGGAGGUAGAUGCUAGCCCUGGGUGUCAGGCAAACAGAUAUUCACCUCACUGCAUCUUUUCUGUGUUGACCCAGGUGCCCUCUGACUCACAGACAUGGGGACUGCUGCCACUUUUUAAUUCCAUUCAGAAAUAUCUCCUCACACAAAAUUAGCACCAUGGACACUCAGAGCUUCAGGAGGGGAGAGAAACCUCAGUUCAAAGCAGCAAGGGAGUGUAGGCAUCCAACCCAGAUCUGGCCACAAGUGCUUAGGAGUUUGUCAUCAUGAUCUUAGUUUCUGAGUCCUUAAACUAGGCAUUAUGGACAAUACACCUCUAAUUCUGGAUUUGCAAGGCACUCUUUAGAGCAGUGGAUUAUAGUGGGAAGAAUUAUACAUUGGUGCCUCUGGUGAACUUCAGGAGUUUGAUCAUGUGGGAAGAGGAACCAAGAGAAUCUGGAAGUGAAGUGACAGAAACUAGGGAAGAUAGAAAAGGGUGAUUGGUUACAUAAUAAAAGUAGGAAUACUUUAGGUUGUGUUGAGGGGGUGGGGGUAUUAUGUAUAGAACUAUAUUAGGAUAGAUUUCUAGUGGUAAUAGUCUGCCUAAAUCUGGUUUUCCCAAGUAUAUUGCUGUAUUGGAUUUUCUUCCUUCUUACCUUUGCUGAAGUAAAAUCCCCUCUUUUCAUCUCUAACAAUCCCCACACACGGCCCAGGUACGUGUUCCUGAAUUUACCAGUAAUUCCCUUUUCUUUCUCUCUUGAAAACAGGGAAACUUUGUGGCUGGAAAAUACAAGUGUCUUCUGUGUCAAAAAGAAUUUGUGUCAGAGAGUGGUGUCAAGUAUCACAUCAACUCUGUCCAUGCCGAGGUGAGGUCCCUGCUUUUCCCAUCAUGUUUUUGUAAUCCCUGGAACCCAUACAUGUGCCCCCAAGAAAGGUGGAAUUUGUGUGUUGUGUUGGGCUAGGACUGCCAAGGAAAGUAGCUUGAAAGUGGUUACUGGAGACAUUGGAGUUAAAAUACUUUGUAAAAUUAGAUGCAUAAUUAUAUUUUCUAUGAAAGCAUUUGUAGUCAGUAUAAGUCUGAGCAUCCUUGAGCUCUUCUGAUUCUUUUAAAUUCAGUUAAAUCAGGCAUGUGGGCAGUAGGCUGAGUUUACACCUUUGCAAUUCUUGUUUCCUAGCGUUCUCCAUACUUCCGUUUUCUAGUAUUCUAAUUAAUGUUGUGGAGCAACCUGUUUUUAAGGUUGUUUAAAAUACCGCAAAGAGGGGCACCUGGGUGGCUCAGUCGGUUGGGCGACCGACUUCGGCUCAGGUCAUGAUUUCACGGUCCGUGAGUUUGAGCCCCUCAUCGGGCUCUGUGCUGACAGCUCAGAGCCUGGAGCCUGUUUCAGAUUCUGUGUCUCCCUGUCUCUCUGACCCUCCCCUGUUCAUGCUCUGUCUCUCUCUAUCUCAAAAAUAAAUAAACGUAAAAAAAAAAAAAUACUGCAAAGAAACAACUAUGAAAGACAUUAAUGAGACAGCUGGAGUCAUUGGAAUACGACUCUAUUAAAUAAUCGUAAUGAGUCAAUGUUAAUGUUCCCAAAUGUGAUCACUGUAUUGUUUUGCAGGGGAAUGCCCUUGUUCUUAGGUAGAUAUAUGCUGAAAUUUUUAGGGAUGAAAUACGCCUGAAAAUAAAUUGCAAAUGGAAGAAGGAAGAAAGGAAAGAGAGGUUAACGAUGGUAAAUCUAGGUUUCAUUGAACUAUUAUAACUUUUCUGAAGGUUUGUACGUUUUGACAAUUAAAAAAUAAAUUCUGUGUAAAAGUGUUCUAAAGUUCAGGGGUGCCUGGGUGGUUCAGUUGGUUGAGUGUCCGACUUCGGCUUAGGUCAUGAUCUCGCAGUCUGUGAGUUUGGGCCCCGCGUCGGGCUCUGUGCUGACAGCUUAGAGCCUGGAGCCUGCUUCAGAUUUUGUGUCUCCCUCUCUCUCUGCCCCUCCCCUGCUCACGCUCUCUCUCUUUCUCUCUCUCUCUCUCUCUCAAAAAUAAACAUUUGAAAGAAAAAUUUCUAAAAAUGCUUUAAAGUUCAGAAAGCUGAGUCUUUUUUUUCUCUUAGGGCAAGUUUUUAGUAAUAUAGGUGAGUAGAGAAAUUGUUUCCUGUAUAAUUAAAUACCCGUAUUGCAAAAGCUAAAGGAGUAGAGUGCAUUCUCUUGGAAUAUCUGACUGCAGAAACUAUUGUUGCCUGAUAAGGAAAAAUAGCAAGCACCUUCAGCUGUUCUCUGCCCUCACAUUUAAUAGUUUUUAACAAUGUGGGCUGUAGUUAGUGUCAUCAAAUGUGGUUCUUGUUGUUUUACCAGUUUAAGCUUUGGGAGGCCCUUUCCAUGUCUGAGAUUUCUUCUGGAAUGCAGUCCUAUCUUUUUUUAUAAUAAUAGUGUACCUUUUUAUGCUUCAGGAAGUACUUAAAAGAUAAUUAUCUCGAGGUCCCUGGGUGGCUCAGUUGGUUAAGUGCCUGAUUGUUGAUUUUGGCUCAGGUCAUGAUCUCAUGGUUCCUUAGUUUGAGACCCGUGUCAGGUUCUACACUGACAGCUCAGAGCCUGAAGCCUGUUUCGGAUUGUGUGUCCUCCUCUCUCUCUCUGCCUCUUCCCCGCUUGUGUAUGUGCUCUCCCUCUGUCUCAAAAAUAAAUAAAUAAACAUUAAAAAAAAAAAAAAUUAUCUCCUGACAAAAUCUGGCCUUUAUGUAAUUAACCAGUUUUCUCCAGUUUCCUCUUAAAAAGUUGGAACCAACAAAUUUCACUCAGUUUGGGGCUUGUUCCCCAGGCAUUUGUUCAAUGAUUUGUGCCUGUGUUUAUGAAUUAUAUGUGGUGGUAAAACAUUUUUAUUCUGUUCCUCCCUUUCUGCCUCGCAUGUUCUUACACUACUUUUUUUUUAAACAGGAAUUUUCAAAUACAUGAAAACGGACAAAAUAGUGUAAUGAAUAGCAUUAACAGAUAUGAAUAGCUUUAACAGAUUGGCCAACAAGUUUAUGGCCAAUCUUGUUUUCAUUUAUAACCACACCUACUUCUCUUGUUCCUUAAAGGCUUAUUUUUUUUUUUAAGUUUAUUUAUUUUGAGAGAGAGUGUGCAUGUGCACACAAGCGGGGGAGGGGCAGGGAGAGCAAGAGGGAGAGAGAAACCCAAGCAGGCUCCAUGCUGUUAAAGCAGAGCCUGACUCUUGAUCCCACCAUCCUUGAGAUCAUGACCUGAGCCAAAAUCAAUAGUCAGGCACUUAACUGACUGUGCCACCCAGGUGCUCCUUAAAGGCUUAUUUUGAACAAAUUUCACAUACCCUGUCACUGUCACUGCUUCUUUCACUGUGUCUAAAAUAUAGGGACUUUUAAAAGUAUAUGACCGCAACCAUCAUUACACCUAAAAAAAAUUAACAAUGAUUCUUGCAUAUCAUUAUAUACCUAGUUAUUAUUUAAAUUAUUUAAAUUUCCCUGAUUGCCUCAUAAUUUUUUUCAGAGUUGGCUUGUUCAAAUCAGGAGCAAAAAAAAAAAAAAAAAGGUCCAUAUACUGUAUGUUUUAAUCUAGAGUGCUAUCCAAUAGAAAUGUAAUGUGAGUCAUGUAUGUAAUUUAAAAUUUUCUAGUAACCACAUUUCAAAAGUAUAAAGAAAAACAGGUGAUAUUAAUGUUGAUAAUAUAUUUUAUUUAAUCCAGUAUACUAUCUUUUGAACACGUAGUCAGUAAAAAAUUAUUGAGAUACUUUAUAUUUUUUCAUACUAAAUCUUUGAAAUUUCAUGUCUAUUUGUUAUAUAUUGAAAGCGUAACAGGACGCCUGAGUGGCUCAGUCGGUUGAGCGUCCGACUUCAGCUCGGGUCACGAUCUCAUAGUCUGUGGGUUCGAGCCCCGCGUCGGGCUCUGUGCUGACGGCUCAGAGCCUGGAGCCUGCUUCCGAUUCUGUGUCUCCCUCUCUCUGCCCCUUCCCCACUCAUGCUCUGUCUCUCUCUGUCUCAAAAAUAAAAAUAAAAACAUUAAAAAAAAAAUUUAGAAAGCGCAUCUCAUUUUGGAUUAGUCAUUUUUCAAGAGCUCAUUAGCCACAUGUGGCUAGUGACUAUCUCAUUGGACAAUGCAGGUCUAGAAGUUUCCCUUUCCUCUCCCCCCACCCCAAAUUUAUUUGUUGAGGAAACAAGGUCAUAUAUGCACAUUUUGGAUUUUGUUGAUUACAUUCCUGUGGUGGUGGUCCUCUAGCAGAGUAUUUCCUAUAAACUGGUUUUUAGACCUAGAAGACUGAUCAGAUCACUUGAUUUAUUUAUUUUUUUUUAAUUUUUUUUUUCAACGUUUUUUAUUUAUUUUUGGGACAGAGAGAGACAGAGCAUGAACGGGGGAGGGGCAGAGAGAGAGGGAGACACAGAAUUGGAAACAGGCUCCAGGCUCUGAGCCAUCAGCCCAGAGCCCGAUGCGGGGCUCGAACCCACGGACCGCGAGAUCGUGACCUGGCUGAAGUCGGACGCUUAACCGACUGUGCCACCCAGGCGCCCCCAGAUCACUUGAUUUAGAUUGAAGUCUUUCUUUCUUUCUUUCUUUCUUUCUUUCUUUCUUCCUUUCUUUCUUUCUUUUUUCCUUUCUUUCUUUUUUUCUGCAAGAAUAUUUCAUAGUUGGAGUCCAUGUUCCUUAACUCUUAAUUUUUUAAACUGAGUCUUAGAGAAAUUAAGUAAUUUCCCCAUGGUCACAGAGACAGAAACAGAGUUGAGAUUUGCACCCAGGUGGUCUGGCUGCAUGCAAAUACUAUCAUGAAAUAAAAAUCUCCUAUGACCCAAUGCUUUAUAUCUCAUGAGAGUUUUACAAAGGAGAUAGAUGAGUGGGAUGAUGCUAAGUGAUCAGACUUCGUGGAUCACUUAUUGAAGUACCCUAAAUCAUGUCUUACACAAUAAAUGCUUAUAAUGACUGCUCAUGAUGAAUUUCUUCAGUUUCAAGUACAGAGUUCUAAGCUAUGGUUCCCUAUCUGUUUCCUCCUUACUGUGUUCUGCCCUAACCGUGCCUUUUAGAGAUUCUUCCCACACCCAUUCUUUAUGUUCUCUACUGUGUAUUGAUUGACUGGAUGAUUUUUCCAUUUUGCCUCUGUAGGACUGGUUCGUUGUAAACCCAACCACAACCAAAAGCUUUGAAAAGCUCAUGAAGAUAAAGCAGCGGCAGCAAGAAGAAGAAAAGCGGAGGCAGCAGCACAGGAGCAGAAGGUCUCUGCGAAGGCUGCAGCAGCCUGGCAUCGAGCUUCCUGAGGCAGAGCUGAGUCUUAGAGUAGGGAAGGAUCAGAGGAGGAGUAACGAGGAAUUGCUAGUGUCGACCUCCUGUAAGGAACCGGAGCAGGAGCCAGUGCCAGCACAAUUCCAGAAAGUAAAGGCCCCAAAGACUAAUCAUAAACGAGGAAGGAAAUAGGCAGGCAGUGUGAAAGCUCCUAGGAAAGCGGACAUGAUGCCAUUGUCACGGGGGCCUGUGCUGGGAGGACUGAGUCACGGGGGCUGAGUGAGGAGAAAUGCACUGUCUCAGCUGUUUGUGUAAGGCUGUGACUUUCUCAGCUCCUUCCUCCUGUGUAAAUUUCACUGUUCUCCCUAUUUAUUCACUUUGACCCCCACCCCCACCCUCACCCCCUUUUUGGUAGGUUUUCCUGAUAUUCCUCAUUGGAGUCCUCUUGUUUUUCUCUUAUCUUGCCCAAAGAGCUCCCUCUUAAGGCCAACUGUGGGCCCCUCUUGCCCUGUACAAAACUGAGAAACCUGUUUGGUUGUCCUGUUCCUUCCUGGGCUAUAGAAUGUUCUUGGAAGCUCCAUUGAUUAGUAGUCAUUCCAUCAUCUUGCUUAUAAAACAAUUCCAAAUUAAUUUUUUAAAACCAUACUGAUUUACCAUUUUGUAUUUGUGAUUUAACAAUCCUAGAAGCUAGAACUGUUGUCACUCAUGUAAAAAGCUUAUCCUGUCUCCUUGGGAAGCAGAUUUUAUGGAGGCUGUUUGUUCUCUCAAUAUGUAAGAAAAUGGAUGUAGGAUGAAAAAGCUAGAACCUCGCUACACUGGUUUUACUGGGAAAUGUUUUGUUUAUCCCAAGUAGCAGUGACUGACUAGACCCACAGGCAUGAAAAGCAGCCCAAACAUUAAAAUGUCGCAAACAUUAAAAUGAUUGGAAAGAAGGAAGUAGAAGAAGCAAUAAAUACUGCCUCAUCUUUCCUGGGGCUUGAGGCCUCAUUGGUUGCUAUGAUCAGUGCCCUCCUAAAGCUUGUUUUCUCCCCCAGUUUUAUGGAUUGAGAAAUACCACAUUGCACUUGAUGUUUUGACACAGAAUCCUAGUGUUCCUGGUAAUGCCACUAAGACUGGCAGCCAAGGUGCACAUUCCUUCUCCCCCGGACUUGACCUUACCUGUUAGUCUAUGCCGUGCUAAGUCUAUUCCUCCCUUUAGCCAACCUCUGUCUCUUGGAAUUCUCUGAGAAUAUUGUCCUCUAUCCUCUUUUAUAUGUGGAGUUCUAUCCUCUUUAUAUCUUGAGACUUUGUCACCAGAUGUAGAUAUUUAUCUGGAGUUGGAAAGAAAAAUUCCUUUUCUGUACCUCAUGCCUACCUGCUAAUGUCUAGUGGGCUACUUCUCUUCAAGGCUGGCUUUCUCUGGAACAUUGUUUAGACCAGCUCUGUUGUUGUGUUUCCACAUUCUCUUCCCCUUUUCCAUAAAUAUUGGUCUUAUAUAUUCUUGCCAAUUUUUGUGGCAUAUGCCACAUAAAAAGCAAGGACCCUUAACCCUGAUAUGGAUAAACACUACCUUUUCAAAUUCUGAAAGGCUGUUACUACUCUUUAACUCUGUAUUUUGUGCUGCUCCACAUAGCUUUAAAAUGUGGGCUUUUGUGAAGACCACUUUCAAACGGGAGCAUUGAAACCAGAUUUGGAGACUGCCAAAAUAGAUAGUUGUGAAACAAGUGAAGGACAUGGUAUGUCCACUCUACAUUUUCAUUGGCAGUUGCACCCUUAAAACCCUUUCAGUAGAUGAGGAUUGUCAGGGAGGAGAAAUGAAGAAGCUAUAUUAAUUUCUGGUGAGUAAGACUUGGGGAAUGUUGGGCAAUGACAAAAGAAAUAAAUGACUGUCGGUUAGAAUGAUGUUUCCAGUUCAUUGACUCCAACCUGCUAUUUGACUCCUUGCUGACAAAGUGUAUGGGGGUAAGAAAACAGCUGAACGUGGGAGUGGGUUUGAAAUAAGUUCCAAAUGUGGCGUCUUAGUAGUUCUUUAGCUCCUGAAUUCUGCUGGUUAGUGAAUAAAUUUGUUUGAGAUUAAAGUGAAUUAGUGUAGAAAACUUGUCCAGUCUCAUCCAGGACCCUCGCAGGCACUUUUAAAAUUUUUCCUUCCUGAGGCCAGGUCUCACUCAGCAGGAGUAUCCUAAUCAUACUAUUGAGUUUUUAAGUUUUUUAAACAAAAUUCAUUUGAGUAACAAAUUUGACAAUAUCAGGUAUAGCCAGGUUGUGUGGAAUGUGAACUCUCAUGCACGGUUUGGAAUUUAAAUUGGUACAAUUACUUUGGAAACAAUUUGGCAGUAUCUAGUAGAGCUGAAAAUACGCCCCUAAGGCUCAACAGUUUUACUCCUGGGUAUAUACAGAGAAAAUCCUCUUGCCCAGGUGUACCAGGAGACAUAAACAAGAAUGAUGUAGCAGAGUCUACUAACUGUCUGCCAAAAUCUGCUGUCACUUUGCAGACCCCUAGGAUUAUAGGACAAAUGGCUAAAUUAUGUUCCUGGCCCUCCAAUCCCCUGCCCCUGUAGUGAAGGGUAGCUAACUAACUUCUCUCCAGUAGAACAUGAAUGGGAGUGAUGUGUGAUACCUCCAGGGUAGAAGUUUUAAGAAAGGGCACCUCUGUGCUUUCUUUUCCCUUCAUCGGGCCAUAUGAAGAUAAUAAAAUGGCUUUAGGGGGUGGUAGAGCACAAAAUGGAAAAUGGUUGAUGCCCUGAAUCACCCCAUGAAGGACUAAUUGCUAGCCAGGAACAUCUGAGACUAUUAAAGAGAAAAAAAAAUCUGUUUUUUGAGACAUUAUACAUGCUUGGGUCGCUUUGUUAGCUUACUCUACUAUAUAAUUUGUCUAUCAUCAGAAGAGGUAAAUACAGUGGAAUACUGUAUAGCUGUGAAAUUAGGGCUUGUAUCAUGAAUACAUCUUAAAAAUGGGAAAAGCAGGUUACAGAAUACAUCAAGCGUACCAUUUAUGUGAGGUUUAAAAACAUGUAAAAAUAUUCCAUAUUGUUUAUGGAAAUGUAUAUGUUAUAUAAUAUAUAUUUAGUGUACGUUUAUAGUUUAAUAUAUAUUAAUAUAUAUGUAUAUAUAUAUGUACAUAUAUAUGUAUAUAUAGCAUGAAAACAUGCACAGAAAUGAUAAACACCAUAUUUAGGACAGUGCUUCUGGGAUUCAGAGGGACUACAGUGAAUUUGUAAGUUCUUAUUUCUUAAGGUGGAUAGUGAGUUUGUUGUAGUUUUCUAUAUCGUGUGUCUGAAAUACUUCAUUUUAUGUAUUUCUUUUGAAAGAAAAAUUUGAAAAAAUUUGAAAAAUCAUUUGAAAAAUCAGCUCUCACAAAUUAUUGCUCCUCUCCUUUUUAAAAGGGAUCACUUUAGAAAUUUUACUUGUGCUUCAUUCUUUUUUAAAAUGUUUAUUUAUUUGAGAGAGAGGAAGCACAAGUGUGUGGGGGAGGGGCAGAGAGAGAGGGAGAGAGAGAAUCCCAACCAGGCUCCAGCACAGAUACCAGACUGUGAGUUCAUGACCUGAGCCGAAAUCAGGAGUCAGAUGCUUAACCGACUGAGCCACCCAGGCGCCCCAUUUGUGCCUCAUUCUUAACCUUUCAUUUUCCUCUCCCCUGUGGUCUGCUCUUACCCCUGUCUCCUGUUCACUUUCUAUUUCAACCACCCCAGUUCAAACCAUCAUCACCUCUUGCCUAGACGACAAUAGCUUCCUAAUUGUUUCCUGCUGAUUUUUACUGGCUUGGCUACACUUCCCAGAACAGCUGUAGUGAGUUUUUAAAAUUGUCAAUCAGACCUCAUUCAAGGGCUAAAAGCCUGAUAAUUUCCCAGUGCUCUUAGAAUUCAAGCCACUCCCUUUCCUUGUCCCACAGGGCCUGCCACUCCCACUGCUAACCCGUUUAGCUUCCUCUCCCUCCCCUCCACCUAAAUUCUCUGAUCAUUCCCCAGCUACACCUGAGCCACAUUGACCUUUCUCUUCCUGGAGCCUGCUAAGCUCAUUCCCAUUUUAGGGCCUUUGCACUCACUGUUCCGUUGCCUGAAAUGGCUUCUUCCCUGGUUUUUGUCCAGUAGACUUCACUGAAUCAUUUAGGUCUUAACCUAAAUUUCCCCUUGGGGGGUCUUUCUAUCUAAGUGCACUUUCUGUAACAUCACCCUGUUUUAAUUUUCUUCAUAGCAAAGCAGACAAAAAGACUGACAUGGUACCUGGCCAAGCUAUGCUCACUUGCAGGUAUGGAUUUCAAAAUAUCUUUAUCAGAUGAUUCACCCUCGAAAGUCUUCAAGCCCUUAAGAGAGGCCUCACUCUGAAAGGGACAGCCAUAAAGCAAUACACCAGAUCCGUUAUCUGGGAUGAUAGGAAUUAAAAAUAAACAUAGGAGAUGGAAGUUAUCCACUUCCCAAUUUGAUCAUCGGAACAGUAAAGGCAGGAGGGAAAUUAACAGCAGAGUAAGAUUCUAGAUCACUCCUACUUUCCCAACCCCUUUUCAGCCUUAGUAUAUAUUUUUCUGUGGUUUUUUGCAUCCACAGAGAAUAGGGCUUCAAAUUUGUCUUGGUUACCAUGUUUUUCAAGUUGAGUCUUUAUGUAUUUUCAGCUCAAGAACUGAAGUAUUCAAGUUAAGGAACCUGCAUACUAUCUAAAAUAUUACUCUUCUGCGUUGAAAUUGUGGUUUUGUUAUGUGCAUAUUUGUAAGAAUAAGACUUGCAGAAGUAGUAGUAAGAGAGAGGAGUGAUGGAGUAGAAAAUACAUUACAUUGGAAAAAUAAAAAAAUCAACAGAUAUAUUAAUAUACAUUUUAUUUUUAAUAACAAUACACAUUUAACAAAAUUGUUAAAGCUAGAGGUAAAAGGCAUUGAGGGAGAAAAAAAUUUUUAAGCCAAUUUUAAGUUCAUUUUACAUAGGAAUAAAACAAAAUUCAUGAAAAUUAUUUUGUAGUUUCUUAUCACUGACAAUUUCUAGAAAACAUAAGGUUGGAUUAUAUUUCCCCAUAGAGGAGUGAUGUUAAAAUAUGGGGUUAUAUCCCUGUACUAGGAUUUAGCAUUCAAAUAGUCUAAUCAUCAAUAUGUCAUAAGUGUAAAAAAUGUUUAUUUUAUAUUUUUUAGUGCAAAAAAAUUUCAAAAACUAAACGUCUGUACUAAUUAAAAAUCUUGUUUCCAGUUCUAAAUAGACAUAAAUACAAGGCACAUAUUAAUUACAAAAGGCAUUUCAUGUACUAUCAAGUGCACACAGAAUAAGAAAAUGUAAUAAGUGACCUAAAACUGAAGUACCUAUUAUAGUUAAUUAAGUGAUCUUGUUAUCUUAGAAUUUAGAAUGUUAGGGAAAUAUAAGACUCUUUAAAAAAGUCUUCCAAAUAUUCUAACACUUUUCUUGAUAUCUUUUCCUAAAACAAGCAGAGGCAUUCAGUCACCUCAUUAAUGCCAGAAGUGUUUCUUCACAGAAAAGACUGUCAAAAGUAGUUGACCGAAUAUACAUCCCUUUUGCUCUUCCCUUCUCAAUUUACCCAGUUGAGGGGCAGAGCAUCAGACAAAAGGUCGUUCUGCCCAGUGCUUUUUUUUCUUCCUAGCUCUUCUCCGACUUGCAGUUUACUUUUUCACUCUUGACAAAACUGGGGGAAGUGCUUGGCCACUGCUUGUGAACUUGAAAAAGCUUAAAAAACACUUUGCCUUUGUGUGGAGCUGGUCAAGAGGCAUGAGGAUAAUUGGUUGUUUAAAGAGCAGAAGGCACUAUAUAAAGUCAAUCUGAAAUGCUAUUCUUAAAAGGUGUUUUUUAUAUAAAGAAAUCUAAUUUAGCUAGAUGAAGUCACACAACCCUUUUCCUUUCAUUUCCUCAAGGUGGUUUCCUUGAGCUAGUUUGAAGUACAGGUGUUUAGGGAAUGGUAUCAGGUUAUCUGGAGAUUUGAGGAACAUCCUGUUCAUCAACAAGAUUAAUUAAAGGAAAAUCUAAUUAAGGGAUGCCAGUCACACAAAUACCUAGCAGUAUUACUGGAAGAAAAAUCUUUGUUUCACACCUAAUCUUUCACACUAACACAUCAUGAUGGAUGUUUUACCAUAGCAGUCAGAUCCCAAAGCCUUCCUAACCAGGUCUAUAUAGCACGUGAGAAUUCUUACUCCAGUCCUUAUAUAAUCAGUGUUGUUUUGGGAAUUGCUUUGGAUUAAUAUUUGAUUUGGUGAUUAGGAGAGGUGUUAUUGUGGUCUUUGGAGCACCCUGUCCUGGGCACGGGUUAUGCCUUCCCUGUAGUCGGUUCCUCCCCCGGACUAAGCAGUCCAUAUACCACUGUUCCUGCUGGAGCUGCCGCUUUUGAUUUUUGAGCCAGCUCCUAAUAGCCUCCAACUCCUGGCAAUGCUGAGUUUGCUGCUGUAAUUCCUUCUUUAACCACUCGUUCUCUCUCCUCAUGUCAUGGUAGAACUCAAAAGUAUACUGCUUUGCUCCUGCCUCCAAGGCCUGGGCCUUCCUUUCAAGCUCUUCUCUUUUUCUUUUUCCCAACUGCCUCGGGUCUGGCUCACUCAGUUGUUUUUCCAGUAAUGCUUUUUCCUGGACCAUCUGGAGCUGGACUUCCAAUUUCUUUGCGUCGAUCUCAGCUUGGGCUUCCUUUUUCUUCUCCUGUAACAUCUGUAUUUCUCUCUCCUGUUUCUCCUUUACUAGGGAAACAUCCCUCAGUGCCUGCAACUGCUGCUUUAAAUUGGAUUGGAGGUUUUCCUUCUGCAAGAGCUCCCCUUUAAACACUGAGGUUUGUUUUGCAUAUCUGGAGGCUGAUUCUUGUCUCCUUUGUUCAAUCUCCUCACUUUUUUGUAAAUAAUGUUCCCAUAGCUCUUCAGGCUUCCUUCUGUACUCCUCAAUUUCCUUGUCUAGGUAUUCCAGAAAGAAUUGGUUUUCAGUCUGGACAAGUAACUUUUCAUUGUAUAGCUGCUCGGUUUCCUGCAUUACUGAUUCUUGCUGCAUUCGAGUUUGUUUUAUUCGGCUGUUCACCUUCCUCAGCUCCGUCAUGGUCUUUUCUUUAAAGGUCGUCUCUGACUUUGUUAGCAUCUGUGGCUUGAAAAUUAUAUUUAUUAAACUAACAGACCGUGCAGUGGAACUCCCAGAGUCCUUGGCAAACCUGGAGGAAGAACAAGUGAGGCAUUCUCGUAUCAAUUCUUUUUGCUUUUAAUUUUAAUUUAUUUUUGAGAGAGAGACAGUGCGAGCAGGGAAGGAACAGAGAGAGAGGGAGACACAGAAUCUUGGGCAGGCUCCAGGCUCUGAGCUAGCAGCACAGAGCCGGACGCGGGGCUUGAACUCAUGAACCAUGAGAUCAUGCCCUGAGCCGAAGUCGGACCCUUAACCGACUGAGCCACCCAGGCGCCCCUCUCCUAUCAAUUCUUAAUGAAAAUUUAGUAAAUACAAAAUGCACAAUUGUACUUUAAUUCAUACAAGAAAAUAUUUUUGCGUACCUAUUAUGUUCCUGACACUAUGCACGGCAGGAGGGAUACAGUUUAUGGUAAAGGUAAAUGAGUGUCGUUUACAAUUUAAGUACACAGUCACUACAACCCUGUCAGGUAUCACCUCCAUUUUAAAGAGGAGAAAACCGGUUCAGAGACUUUAAAUGACGUGGCUACGAUUUACACCGCCAGCAAGUGGCAGAGCGUGGGUGUGAAACCCAACCUUGGGAGUUCCUGAACACUAUAGCGGCUACGAGGGGGGCCACAGGCACAGUUGGGGUGGUCGGGAGUAACAAUAAAUUUCCCGGCUUUUCUACCACCUUUCCUGUUUCGUGGACACUUCCGUCGAGGGCAGCGCCCCUUCAGUACCUACUUGCUCUGGGAAUCCAAGAGUUCAUCUCCAAGGUCCCCGUGUGAUUCACCGAGGUUGACUGCCGAGGCGGCAGCGCUAGUAGUGCUAGGGUCCUGCGCCACGCGGAAAUGGCGUCCCCUUGCGGAAGGUUUUCGCAAUUUCUCUAUUUUGUGCUCCUUGGAUCUCGGCGCUGCCCAGCAACUCUGGGGGUCGCACCUCACCCCAGCCCCGGCCGGUCCAACUUGGAUCGGCUGAACCUUGCCGGUUGCCGAAUAAGCCCUAGCUGCCGGUUCCCUUUCGGCUCCCUUCCUCGCUCCUUGGGGGUCCAAAGAGAAACGCACUGUCUUCAUUUUCGAACUCUGGGGGCCCCGCUCUGGGGACCUCAUUUCGGCUCGCUUUGGGGACAGGAACUCUGCUCUUCCCAGGCCCUUCCCUACAACGGUGAGUGCCUCUCUUUCUGGCCACCUCCUGCCGUCCUCCGAGCCCAUCAUUUCCCUUCUCCUGUCCCAACUUGGCGCGCAGCCUGGCCGGGAGGGAAGGAAUCGCUUGCGCCCGCCCCACCCCAUCGCCUUCCCCUUUCGCACUGGUUGGGUUCUAGCCUGUAUCUCUGCCCCUCGCGUCACAGAAGCCUUUCUAAGCGCGCAGCGUCACUACGGUAGAGUGGGCGGAGCCAGGAGAAAGAUGGCGGAGCCCGUAGGUGAAGCUGAGUCGCAGGCUUCUGGCGGUCUUCGGCCCCCAGUGUGUCUGUUGGUGUUGGGAAUGGCGGGAUCUGGGAAAACCACCUUUGUACAGGUGACGUACAGGGCGCGGGCGUAAUAGGUGCGCGCGAGAGGNNNNNNNNNNNNNNNNNNNNNNNCCAUCAUUUCCCUUCUCCUGUCCCAACUUGGCGCGCAGCCUGGCCGGGAGGGAAGGAAUCGCUUGCGCCCGCCCCACCCCAUCGCCUUCCCCUUUCGCACUGGUUGGGUUCUAGCCUGUAUCUCUGCCCCUCGCGUCACAGAAGCCUUUCUAAGCGCGCAGCGUCACUACGGUAGAGUGGGCGGAGCCAGGAGAAAGAUGGCGGAGCCCGUAGGUGAAGCUGAGUCGCAGGCUUCUGGCGGUCUUCGGCCCCCAGUGUGUCUGUUGGUGUUGGGAAUGGCGGGAUCUGGGAAAACCACCUUUGUACAGGUGACGUACAGGGCGCGGGCGUAAUAGGUGCGCGCGAGAGGUUGACAGUGGCAGGCGAAAGGCCAGGGAGAACGGGAGGAAGGUCUCACGGAGUUGGAGGGGACCCGCGUGCGGCUUUCGAGAACUUGCCAGCAACUCCGGUUCCUUCUUAGGCUAGCCUUUUCGACUCUAGUCUGGUUUAAUUAGGGCUAGGGCUCUCAUCUGCACACCCUCAGUUCGUGCUUGGUACAACUUACCGCGUUCUGGAAUUGUCUUACCGACAAAGUUGUCAGCUCCUCGAAGACAGUCUUACGAGUAACUGGCAAUUAAUUAAUACAGUGCCAACACACGGACUUUUGGUGUAGAUUGUUAAAGAAUUAUUUCUUGCACAGCUGUCAUGUUUCAACCACCGCGGACGCAGCGAAAUUGAGUUUACUAGGUUCCCGCUUUUUGGAGCUAAUGUUUUAGUGGGAGUGCUAGAAAAAAAAAACACACAAAUCAAGUAGAUAAGUGAUCGAGAGUAGGGGGAGGCUGUUAGGUGGGUGAUAAAAGGUAGCGUUUCAUCUGAGUUGAAUGUUGGAGGUGGAUAUUGGGGGCGAAUAUUUCAAGUACUGAGAAGGGUAAGUGCAGAAGUCUUCAGGUAUGAUCAUCCACAAAGGAAUGGAAGUUCUCUCUUGGCCCCUAUCAUUCCCUCUUUGUCUCACUACAUCCCUCUCCCCAUCACCUCUGCAGAGGCUUACGGGACAUCUGCAUAGCCAAGGGUCUCCACCUUAUGUGAUUAAUCUGGACCCAGCUGUACAUGAAGUACCCUUUCCUGCCAAUAUUGGUGAGUAAACUGUACCAGAACUGGGUGAAGUCCCUCAGAAAAUGGAAAACUUCCAGCUUGCCAGACUUCAAUGCUUUCGUUUUUCAUUUUUCAAAACUGCCAAUUUUCAUUUUCUGUGAAUUUGCUAGAAUCUCUAAACAAGUCUUCUCCCUUAUGCACAUUCUUUUCUUUGUUCCCUAACUAAAUUUGCUUCCUUCACACUGUUAUCUCUCCCCUCUUUCUGACCCUAGGGUGUCAGGCUAUUGUUACUUGGGAUAGCGAAAUGACAGAAAGUCAGUCCUCUCACUUCCAGGUCACUUCAGCAGGCUCUGGUACAUAAACCUGUUUUAUUUAGUUUCUUUUAUCAAAAGUUGAGAGUUUAAGGGUUCUUGUGUGGUAGUUCAUGUACUGAUCUAUAGGAACCUUGCUUCCACUCCCAAUAUACGCAUUGCUUUGGAGAGGGGUUUCCAGUUAUCAUCAGGCUUUCAGAGGAAUCUGUGGCUAUGAAAAAAAUUAAGAGUGGAUAUGAUUCAGUGUCAUAAUUCUUGAUGGGACCUGCGGGUCUCCUGAUUUCUAGGCUGUCACUGUGCUAAUUUUCUCCCUCCGUGUCUCUUAAUCUUGUUAAGCUGCUCGUACCCUAGUUAAACUAAUAAAGGAAAACCUUGUAUUAAGCAGAGAUCAUUUUGGGAAGGGUUUGGGAAAAAAUUGACAUCUUCUCACUUAAAGGAUGGACUUCGGUUGAUAGAUGAAUGGUUCAACAAGAUACAAUGUAUGUGUGUAUAUAUAUACAUGCACCGUGGAAAAUGACUCAACCAUAAAAUAGAAUGAAAUCUUACCAUUCGUGACAACAUGGAUGGAUCUAGAGGGUGUUAUGUUAAGGGAGAUAAAUCAAGACAGAAAGACAAAUACAUUAUGAUUUCAUUUAUAUGUAGAAUCUAAAAAACAAAAGAAAGGAACAAACAAAACAAAGCAGCAACAGACUCCGAUACAGGAAACAAACUGUUGGUUACCAGAGACAGGAGGAUUUAGGAGGUGGGUGAAGUAGGUGAAGGGGAUUGAGAGGUACAAAUGUCCAGUUACAUAACAAAUUACAGGGCUAUAACGUACAGCCUAAUAUAAUAACUUUGGUGACAGAUGGUAACUGCACUAACUGUGGAGAUCAUUUUGAAAUAUGUAAAAAUAUCUAAUCAUUAUGAUAUAAACCUGAAACUAAGAUACUCUAUGUCAAUUAUACUUAAAUUUAGAAAAAGAUGGAAUUCUAAUAGUUGGUGGGGUCUACAGGCUGAUAGUUAGAUUUAGUUAGAUAUUACUGGAUGCAUUAAUUUUCCCUUUGAAAAAUCAUGUCUGCAUUACCCUGUUACUAGUAGGCAGUAAGAAAACUUUUUCUUGAUUUAGCUUUCUUGCUUUCUUGCUUUCUUGCUUUCUUUCUACUUUUAAUUCCAGUAUGGUUCAAAUAUAAUGUUACAUUAGUUUCAGGUGUACAAUAUAGUAACUCAACCAUUUCAUAUUUUUUUACCUCUCUUUUUCUAUGCAUAUGGUCACUGAUAAGGUAUUUAAGUUGUACAGAACUUUUCUCCUUAUUUCAGACCAUGUCUACCUUAACUUCCAAGCUCCUAGUCUUUGUCAUGGGUGCCUUGCCAGUUAUCCUUUGUAAGGAAGGAAAGCAGUGUGGAGCCGGAGGUUAGUAGAAGAGAACGCAGGCAAGAGAAGCCUGAAAAGCUGCUUUCAGCUUCUUGCUGGUAGAGAAGGUGCUUGCAGGGUGCCUUCUCCCUUUUUGUUCUCUUCACGAUCUUGCUUUUUUCCCUAUCACAGUUCAUUGACCUUAGCUUGAAAAUUUAGAAAACAGAUUUGAAAACUAACUGAGAUACCAAGAGAGAAACUUAUUUCUUCUCCUCAGAGGAAGCAGAGGUGACCUGAGAGGCCUAUUGGCUGAGGCUAUGAUAGGUGGAGGGUCUCAAACUUAUUGUUUCUUAUGUGUUAAAUUCCAGUGAAUUCUUUCCCCCCCUUCUCCGCCCCCCCCUCCCCAGAUAUUCGUGACACCGUCAAGUAUAAAGAAGUCAUGAAACAGUAUCCUUUUCUGUAUCUGCCUCCUGUGCUGACUCAUCACUGGAUAGUUAUUGUCCAUAUUUUGUGGCUUUGAGAGAGUGUUUUUGUAUCUUUGUAAAACAAUACUAGCAAAAGCAUUUAAUUGCUUUAAAGUAAUUUUUUAAAGGAUGUUUUUAAAGUUUAUUUAUUUUGAGAGAGAGUGCCCAUACGCACAUGCAAGCAGGGGAAGGGUGAGAGAGAGGGAGAAACAGAGAAUUCCUAGCAAGCUCGGAGCUCAAUGUAGGGCUUGAACCCAUGAAUUGUGAGAUAAUGACCUGAGUUGAAAUCAAGAGUCAGACACUUAACUGAGCCACCCAGACUCCCGUUUCAAAGUAAUUGAACUAAGAGGAUGGAAAGAUGAAUGUGAGGAAAGGUAUUGUAGGUGAUUAGAAAUACUAUUUCAGCUUGUGAUUUCAGUUUUCUUACCAUUUUCCUAGAAUUAUAGGCUGUGGUAAGGAGAGAGCACAGAGUGAGAGAGGCUAGCUGGUGCUGUGCCUGGGUUCCACAAAGUAGUAUUUCCUUGGAGGCCACUACCUCCUCUGACUGGGAAACUCAGAAAUGAGUAGGUUUAGUAGUAGGAUCAACUCAUAGUACAUUGCUGUGUGAAAUGUGUACUUUGAGUGUAGGUACGUCUAAGUGGGUUAACUAAUUAUAAUCAGGUUGCUUGAUCAGUAAAGAUCAGAGCAAGCAGUGUGAUACAGAUGGUCUUAAUGGCUAAUGCCAUUAGGCUGUCACUGCCUGAUGCAUCUAUUACAUUUUGGUCUCUUUAUUUAUGUAUUUAUGUAUUUAUGUAUUUAUUUAAAAUGUUUAUUUAUUUUUGAGAGAAAGAGAGCGUGCAGGGAAGGGGCCGAGAGAGAAGAAGACAGAGGGUGUGAAGCAGGCUCUGUGCUGACUGCAGAGAGCCCGAUGUGGAGCUUGAACCCAUGAACCAUGAGAUCAUGACCCGAGCCGAAGUUGGAUGCUUAACUGACUGAGCCACCCAGGCACCUUUAUUUAUUUAUUUUUAAUGUUUGUUUAUUUUUGAGGGAGAGAGAAUACAAGCAGGGGAGGGGCAGAGAGGGAGACAGAGGAUUUGAAGCAGGUUCUGCACUGACAGCAGAGAGCCCGAUGCAGGGCUUGGACUCAAGAACUGUGAGAUUAUGACCUGAGCCGAAGUUGGACGCUUAACUGACUGAGCCAUCCAGGUGCCCCACAUUUUGGUCACUUUAAUUACUUCAUUUUGCCUAGCCAUCCCUAAAAUGACAAAUGGAUGAGGAAGAUGUUGAUAAUGAAUAUUUCCUUGUGACGUUAGGGUUGUGUGGUAUGUACUAGUCAAGGAUUAGCUGCCAGUGUCCAUUCAUGGAACACUUAGUUACAAUGCUGUUUGUGUGAAUGAUACCCUAAGUAUGAACUUCAUCAUCUAAAUUGAUCUGUAAGUAAUUUAAAUCCUCAACUUAGUGUCCAGGUAUGGACUUGGGCCCAAUGGUGGUAUAGUGACUUCACUCAAUCUCUUUGCUACCAGAUUUGAUCAGGUAUGUCUGUUUCUACUUUUAUGACAUGGCUGUGUAAAAACCUGUGACUUCUAAAUGCUGUAGCUUGCUCACACUGGGAAAGAAGAGCAAGAAGCCUGCGUAUGCAUAUAGAAAAUAAGUAAGUGUUUUGGUAGGCAGAGAAGUGGGUAAUGACAAUGAUCAGUGAUGUGAGAUGCUUCAUAGCCAGUAAAACAAAAAUCCAAGAGACGUAGGUUCUUUUCUUGAUCAUGUCUUGGACGUUACCUUGAGGUUGGAGUGGAGGGUUGGGGAGUGGGAUGGGCUAGUGGGUGUGGAAUGGAAAGAUAAUGGGGCUUUUUACAUGUGACAUAAUUGUCAUUGGUUAGCUUUUUCUCUAUUUCUAUAAAAGUGUUUUGUAGUUACUAAUUAAAAAAAAAUUUUUUUUAACGUUUAUUUGUUAUUGAGCAACAGAGCAUGAGCAUGGGAGGGGCAGAGAGAGGAGGAGACACAGAAUCCGACGCAGGCUCCAGGCUCUGAGCUGUCAGCACAGAACCUGACGCAGGGCUUGAACUCACGAACCACAAGAUCAUGACAUGAACCAAAGUCGGACGCUUAACUGACUGAGCUACCCAGGUGCCUCAUGUAGUUACUAAUUUUUUACCCUGAUGUCACUCCAUGAGACAGGCUAUUAAUAUUUUACCAAAGCACCAAGAGAUAUGACCUGACAGUGACAGAUCAUCUUCAGCUUCUCAGGACCUUGCUUGCUGCUGAUGUGGCUGUGUUUCUUCAGUUCAUUGAGUUCAUUAGUUGGUGUCCUAAUCGAGAACACAGAGAUUGAAUAGUUGAUAGUGCCUAAAAGGCAGGCCUCCCUGCAGAGGGAUUUGUGAUUAUCUGUUGUAAUUGGCAUCUUUCUCUUUUAGGUCAUGAAAUUUAUUGAGAAGGCCCAGAACAUGUCUAAGUAAGUGAUUUCAGUUUAACACCUAUUUAUUACUCUGUAAUUGACACAUCUCUAGAAUUUCAGGGUACCAUCAGGCUCUGAAAGAGUGUAGGUUGGGAUAAAACCAUUAGAAGUGAAAGAAAAAAGUGGGCUAAAAAUCAUUAAGAUGCUAUAUAGUGUAGAGCUAAAUUUAAUAGUAUCCUGCCACCGAUCACUGUCAUAUAAGCCCACCACUUCCUAGGAGGCAUUGAGACUUUGUCCAAAUUCAGUCGUCUGCCUGCUUCUCUUGGGAGACCACACUUGCUGGCAUGAAAGUCUCUAAAACCUUUUUAACCCUCGUUUUAAAUGAAUAUAAUUUAUGUGAUUCAGAGAGAAUAAUUAUUUCUUUAAAUUUAAAUAGUAUCAAAAUGUAAAAUAAAAUAACACUGUUAUUAUCUACAUUUAACUGUCAUUAGAUCAUGAUAGUUUCACUUUUUAAAAAAAAAGAUGAUUCAUUAUUUUUGUUAAAAAAAAGACUAUCUGCUCACUGUGGAGAAUUCAAACCACACGUAAUAUUUAAAAGAUGAAACUAUCAGGGCGCCUGGGUGGCUCAGUCGGUUGGGCGUCCGACUUUGGCUCAGGUCAGGAUCUCGCGGUCCGUGAGUUCGAGCCCCGCGUCAGGCUCUGUGCUGACAGCUCAGAGCCUGGAGCCUGUUCUGGACUCUGUGUCUCCCUCUCUCUCUGCCUCUCCCCUGCUCAUGCUCUGUCUCUCUCUGUCUCAAAAAUGAAUAAACGUUAAAAAAAAAUUUAAAAGAUGAAACUAUCACCCUGAUUCCCACUAGAAGUAACUAUCAUUAUUAUUAACUGUUACAUAUUAUUUUUUAGUAUUUAUAGUGUAUGAUACAUAUAAAACAUUAUUACAUAAUAUUAUAUAUGUUGUCAUUGCUAUCAGUGACUAUCAUUCCACAUGUUUCCAUGCGUAUAUACAUAGAAGGAUGGAUGGAUAAGGUGUUUUUACAGAAAUGGGAUCGUACUAGAGGUAAAAAAUAAUGGCUUUAUUGAGAUACAAAUACACAAAGUGCACUCUAAUUUUAAAGUAUACAAUGUGGUGGUUUUCAGUGUAUUCGUAAUGUUAUGCAUUGAUCACCACUAUCUAAUUCCAGACCUUUUUCUUCAUCCUCAAAAGAAAUUCCAUACUCAUUAGCAGUUCCUGUUGUUCCCCCUUCCCACCCCCAGCUCCUGGUGGCUGCACCAUUUUCCGUUCUCACCAGCACUGUGUGAUGGUUCCUUGUCCACGUCCUUGCCAAUUCUUGUUGCUGUCCUUGUUUUUGUUAUAGCCAUGUCAGUGGGCGUGAAGUGGCAUGUGAUUGUGGUAUCACAUUUGGUUUGUAUUUCCUCAAUGAUUAGUGAUGUUGAACAUCAUUUUAUAUACAUUUUAGCCAUUGGUGUAUAUUUGGAGAAAUGUCUAUUGAAAAUUCUUUGCUCAUUUUUAAAAAUAGGUUUAUUUAGAUAUGUAAUUCAUAUACCAUGUAAAGUGUUCAUUUCAGUGGCCUUUACAGAAUUAUGCAACCAUAACUACAGUCAAUUUUAGAAUAUUUCUAUCACCUCAAGAAGAAACACUGUAUUCUUUAGCUGUCACUUCCUUAUCCCUCUAUUUCUCCUUCCCCUCCACCUUUACCCCACGGCUACCCCAAGAAACUAGAUGGUUUCCCAGGAUAUUUCCCUUCCGGUUUUGCUUAUCUCUCAUUUUUUUAAAAGGUUUAUUUAUUUAGUUUGAGAGAGAGCAUACGCAUGAGAGAGAGAGCGGUGGAGUAGCAGAGGGAGAGGGAGAAUCCCAAGCAGGCUCCGAGCUGUCGGUGUGGAGCCUGACACGGGGCUCAAAAUCAUGAUCCUGUGAAAUCAUGACCUGAGCCGAAAUCAGGAGUCAGAUGCUUAUCCAACUGAGCCACCCAGACGCCCCUGCUUCUCUCUUCUUUUAAUGCAGUGUGUUUCUAAAACUAUCACAGUUUCCUCUGUGAUCAUUUGCCGCAAUUUGAGGACCGCUGCUCCUGCUGCCUGGUAGCGUGAAUACUGGACAUUGAGCAAAGCCUGGGGGAAUGUAGUAUGCAUUUUAAGGGCAAUGGGAGGAAGUUACACUUGAUAGUGUGAAGAGGUUAUUCCAAUCUUGGAUGAUCAGAUGUUCAGUGUCUUGUGUGAUGGAAUCUCUUUCAGCAUUGCACAAGUGUAAUACUUCUUUAAUGGUCUUUUUUUUUUUUUUUAACUUAUUUAUUUACUUCAAAUGUUUGUUUAUUAAGAGAGAGAGCGAGCGAGCAGGGGUAGGUGUAGAGAGAGUGGGAGAGACUCCCAAGCGGACCCUGCACUGUCAGAGCAGGCCCUGACACAGGGCUUGAUCUCAUCAAUGGUGAGAUUAUGACCUGAGCCAAAAUCCAGAGUUGGAUGCCUAACUGACUGAGCCACCCAGGUGCCCCCCUUUAAUGGUCUUUCUUGGCACAGAUAUGUCUUGAUUGACACACCUGGACAAAUUGAGGUGUUCACGUGGUCAGCUUCUGGGACAAUCAUCACUGAGGCCCUGGUGAGUAUUCUAGGACUUGUUACUUAGAGUAACUAGAGAACUAGACUGGUUAAGCAUCUCUUUAUUGCCUGGGACCUUAAUGUGGGAGGGAGUUAUGGAAGCUCUGUACACCCUGCUUCAAAUGACUUUCCCUUGCUAAGGAAGGUUGGGGGGAGUUUGGGAAUAGGUUAUGAGCCCUUUGACUAAGGCUGUGGUUAUUUUGUGGCUUUAGGCAUCUUCAUUUCCAACAGUUGUCAUUUAUGUCAU
This 36936-nucleotide long non-coding RNA is filed under the name Lynx pardinus (Iberian lynx). The stretch from base 18539 to 18623 matches the Rfam family "tRNA". Lineage: Eukaryota; Metazoa; Chordata; Mammalia; Carnivora; Felidae. The record is from RNAcentral.